AGCGAACGCUGGCGGCAGGCUUAACACAUGCAAGUCGAGCGGGCAUAGCAAUAUGUCAGCGGCAGACGGGUGAGUACCGCGUGGGAACGUACCUUUUGGUUCGGAACAACACAGGGAAACUUGUGCUAAUACCGGAUAAGCCCUUACGGGGAAAGAUUUAUCGCCGAAAGAUCGGCCCGCGUCGGAUUAGCUAGUUGGUGAGGUAAUGGCUCACCAAGGCGACGAUCAGUAGCUGGUCUGAGAGGAUGAUCAGCCACAUUGGGACUGAGACACGGCCCAAACUCCUACGGGAUGCAGCAGUGGGGAAUAGUGGACAAUGGGCGCAAGGCUGAUCCAGCCAGGCCGCGUGAGUGAUGAAAGCCCUAGGGUUGUAAAGCUCUUUUGUGCGGGAAGAUAAUGACGGUACCGCAAGAAUAAGCCCCGGCUAACUUCGUG
This 435-nucleotide ribosomal RNA is filed under the name uncultured bacterium. Its description in RNAcentral is "partial 16S ribosomal RNA". It matches the Rfam family "Bacterial small subunit ribosomal RNA", at positions 29 to 507 of the family's 1533-position model. The record is from RNAcentral.